RNAcentral lists this ribosomal RNA (368 nucleotides) under uncultured bacterium. RNAcentral's name for it is "SSU rRNA". It matches the Rfam family "Bacterial small subunit ribosomal RNA", at positions 26 to 375 of the family's 1533-position model. The record is from RNAcentral.
AGAAUGAACGCUGGCGGUGUGGUUAAGACAUGCAAGUCGAACGGUGUUUCAGAUGUAGCAAUACAUUUGAAACGCAGUGGCGAACGGGUGCGUAACACGUGAACAAUUUACCUUUUAGUGUGGAAUAGCUCGACGAAAGUCGGAUUAAUACCGCAUGUGGUUGUCUCUCUCCUGAGAGGCAUACUAAAGCCAGGGACCGCAAGGCCUGGCGCUAUUAGAGGAGUUCGCGGCCUAUCAGCUAGUUGGCGAGGUAACGGCUCACCAAGGCUAAGACGGGUAGCUGAUCUGAGAGGAUGAUCAGCCACACUGGAACUGAGACACGGUCCAGACACCUACGGGUGCAGCAGUUUCGAAUCAUUCACAAUGGC